Molecule: long non-coding RNA, 767 nt
Filed under: Acromyrmex echinatior (Panamanian leafcutter ant)
Lineage: Eukaryota; Metazoa; Arthropoda; Insecta; Hymenoptera; Formicidae
Description: uncharacterized LOC105144491, transcript variant X3
Source: RNAcentral
UUAACUCUUUUAGAGUGAAAUUGGAUAUUGAGAUACGGAAUAUUCGACGCUCUGAAAAGUGAAGGAACCAAACGAUGCGCGUCGUUAUAAUUGAAGAAACGAGUGGAUGGGACGAUAAUUCUGCCAGUCUGCAACGCAAUCCUGCUUGAGAAAGGAUCGAAAGGACCUCCUCCCGCAGCCCCUACUACCCGCUUUCCACGAUGCUGCGCGAGAUGAACGGAGGUCCUAUUUCCGGCCGAUAUUUAAAUCCGAGGGGGACCGAAUCCGCUCGACCUUAACCGAAGCGUUCGGGUCCGGCUGUCACAUUCGUGGCGUACCGAAUGCUCGUCUCUCGUGGCGGCGACGGCGGCGACGGCGGCGGCGUAACGCGUUAAUGAAAAUGGCAACGCGUCGCGACGCCAUGUGGCAGCCUCAACGGAAUACGUAUGGCCGCAAAUUGCGCUGCUUUAUCAAUCUGAAAUAACAUCGGCGCGGAAUAAUUAGCGACGACGCGAAACUUACGAGGACUUCAUCGACCAACGGAAGGAUCAUGUUACGGUAUGGCUGACAUAUAUUUUCAGUUCGCAAGCAGAGGAUAGCGAAAGAAUUAAUUCGCAAAGCAAAUCACAUACCACACGCAGCAAUUUAGAAAUAAACAGGGAAUCUUCAAAAUAGUUCAAUGAAAAAUAUUUCUGAAAAAAUAGUGCAUUUAGUCUGUUAAGUCUGCUGCAAAAUUGUGUCAAUAAAAGAACAUUGUGAUGAAGAAAUAUAUUUUUAGGAGAUAUUAG